This is an unclassified non-coding RNA of Pongo abelii (Sumatran orangutan), 117 nucleotides long. It matches the Rfam family "Metazoan signal recognition particle RNA". From Rfam's summary of the family: The signal recognition particle (SRP) is a universally conserved ribonucleoprotein. NCBI's taxonomy places the organism in Eukaryota, Metazoa, Chordata, Mammalia, Primates, Hominidae. The record is from Ensembl.
GCUGGGCGUGGUGGCUCACGCCUGUAAUCCCAGCACUUUCGGAGGCCGAGGCGGGUGGAUCACCUGAGGUCAGGAGUUUGAGACUGGCCUGGCCAACAUGGUGAAACCCCGUCUCUA